RNAcentral lists this small RNA (666 nucleotides) under Oryza sativa Japonica Group (Japanese rice). RNAcentral's name for it is "sRNA Os02g0700350". Lineage: Eukaryota; Viridiplantae; Streptophyta; Magnoliopsida; Poales; Poaceae. The record is from RNAcentral.
GAUUAGCUACGAUUAUUCAGAGCCUUUACCCCACAAAUUUUACAUUAGUACACUCUGGACCAACACUGUACUUAAGCACCCUCAAUAUCGCCACAAAAGAAUUUCUCAUAGGACAAAGGUAACUCUUAAUUUAAACUACAGAUGGUCGCCAUUCUACUGAAUCUUUACCUCCUGUGCUGACUAAUCUUCAGACCGGAUUCGCCGCCUCGCAUGGCAUUGGAGGACAGAUGGUCAUAUCCUCCUCCUUUGAUAUUCAAAUCUAGCAGCAGUAAGCCCUCAUCUUGAGAACACUUGACAUCGUCGGAAUCCUGAAUUCCAUGGUAGAGCUGAAAGCCUAGAUUGGUAGUUCUGAGAUUGUCUUCAGAUAUCGCUUUCGCUAGCUCUCCAUUGUUCUGUUCACACACUUGUGAAACAUUGUUCAUGAAUCCUGAAAGAGCCAGGUUGAAAUCUGUAAGCUGCGUUCUGGUUGCUUCGAGGUUUGCAGUUCCAGUUGCAUCAUAGGAGAGGUUGUUCUGGGCUUUCUCCAGUAUCGUCUGCAGGUAUUUCCCUUGGGCCUCAAUUCGCAUUUGAAGCUUCUUCUGAACCUGUACGUGGAGCAACACAUUGACCUGUUAGUUUUUGUGUUCUGAGCUACACUACGAUUCAAGCAGGGAAGCUAAUGGGUGA